Molecule: small nuclear RNA, 163 nt
Organism: Protopterus annectens (West African lungfish)
Lineage: Eukaryota; Metazoa; Chordata; Ceratodontiformes; Protopteridae
Product: U1 spliceosomal RNA
Exons: 1
Source: RefSeq, a predicted model, not a curated record
GUAAUUACAGGCAAUGGGGAUACUACCACAAUUGUGGUCUUUCCUGGGUGAGACUUUUCCAUUGCACACUUUGAUGGGUUUAUUCCUGUGAUUUCCCCAACUGUGGGAAAUUCAACUACCUAAUUUUUGAUUGUGGGGGAGUAUGUUUGAGCAGUUAUCUGAA